AAAUUGAAGAGUUUGAUCAUGGCUCAGAUUGAACGCUGGCGGCAGGCCUAACACAUGCAAGUCGAACGGUAACAGGAAACAGCUUGCUGUUUCGCUGACGAGUGGCGGACGGGUGAGUAAUGUCUGGGAAACUGCCUGAUGGAGGGGGAUAACUACUGGAAACGGUAGCUAAUACCGCAUAAUGUCGCAAGACUAAAGAGGGGGACCUUCGGGCCUCUUGCCAUCGGAUGUGCCCAGAUGGGAUUAGCUAGUAGGUGGGGUAACGGCUCACCUAGGCGACGAUCCCUAGC
Molecule: ribosomal RNA, 290 nt
Filed under: Escherichia coli
Lineage: Bacteria; Pseudomonadati; Pseudomonadota; Gammaproteobacteria; Enterobacterales; Enterobacteriaceae
Also listed under: 1 other name
Description: partial 16S ribosomal RNA
Rfam family: Bacterial small subunit ribosomal RNA
Source: RNAcentral